This 355-nucleotide ribosomal RNA is filed under the name Pseudoglomeris sp. MNHN BL115. RNAcentral describes it as "Corydidarum sp. MNHN BL115 partial 12S ribosomal RNA". The record is from RNAcentral. Lineage: Eukaryota; Metazoa; Arthropoda; Insecta; Blattodea; Blaberidae.
GUAUUUUGUAAAGGAUAAAUACUUAGGUAGUAAUAGUUAUGGGCUUGAAACUUAAAAAAUUUGGCGGUAUUUUAGUCUAUUUAGAGGAAUUUGUCCCAUUAUCGAUAGUCCCCGUUUUACCUGACUUAAAUUAAAUAAUAUGUAUACCGCCGUAUAGAGGAUUUUUGCAGAAGGAAUUUUCUUUAUAUUUUAUUAAAUUUUAUUUCAGGUCAAGGUGCAGUAUAUAUUUAAGUGGAGAUGAAUUACAAUAUAAUAAUAUAUAAUGAAUUAUAAAUUGAAAUUAUUUAUAUGAAGGAGGAUUUAAUAGUAAUUUUAUUAAUAAUAAUAAUGUGAAAUUAUUAGCUCUAGAAUAUGU